RNAcentral lists this ribosomal RNA (486 nucleotides) under uncultured bacterium. RNAcentral describes it as "partial 16S ribosomal RNA". It matches the Rfam family "Bacterial small subunit ribosomal RNA", at positions 30 to 507 of the family's 1533-position model. The record is from RNAcentral.
AUUGAACGCUGGCGGCAUGCCUUACACAUGCAAGUCGAACGGCAGCACGGGUGCUUGCACCUGGUGGCGAGUGGCGAACGGGUGAGUAAUACAUCGGAACAUGUCCUGUAGUGGGGGAUAGCCCGGCGAAAGCCGGAUUAAUACCGCAUACGAUCUACGGAUGAAAGCGGGGGACCUUCGGGCCUCGCGCUAUCGGGUUGGCCGAUGGCUGAUUAGCUAGUUGGUGGGGUAAAGGCCUACCAAGGCGACGAUCAGUAGCUGGUCUGAGAGGACGACCAGCCACACUGGAACUGAGACACGGCCCAGACUCCUACGGGAGGCAGCAGUGGGGAAUUUUGGACAAUGGGCGAAAGCCUGAUCCAGCAAUGCCGCGUGUGUGAAGAAGGCCUUCGGGUUGUAAAGCACUUUUGUCCGGAAAGAAAUCCUUGGCCCUAAUACGGUCGGGGGAUGACGGUACCGGAAGAAUAAGCACCGGCUAACUACGUG